This 29-nucleotide non-coding RNA is filed under the name Mus musculus (house mouse). The record is from RNAcentral. Lineage: Eukaryota; Metazoa; Chordata; Mammalia; Rodentia; Muridae.
UAGGUGCUUCUCAGUCAUUCGGUAUUCUC